Molecule: long non-coding RNA, 528 nt
Organism: Eupeodes corollae
Lineage: Eukaryota; Metazoa; Arthropoda; Insecta; Diptera; Syrphidae
Exons: 3
Source: RefSeq, a predicted model, not a curated record
AUGGAAUCGGAAUCAAAAUCGUAUCUUCCGUUCUCGUAUAAAUUAAAUUUCUUCUUUUAUGAGAAUUUAAUUAUACUGCAGAGCCCCACCAAAAUUAAGGCCAUGUUUCUAGUUCACAUAUACAUUUUUAUUUUGAUUCUUGGAAUAACUUGUGUGACGAGUUUGGGUAAUACAACCAUUGGCAGUGAAAAUAAACAAACAAAUAAAUGUUUUUAUCGUUGCAAUGAAACAACUCCAGUAUGCGGUUUCAAUGGAAGAUGCAAAUUUAAGUUUAACUCAAAAUGUGAUUUGGGAUAUUAUAACUGUCAAUAUACCCAAAAAUCAAAUCGAAUUGCUAUAAUAAGUGAUGAUGUCUGCAAAAAUAAAAACUACUCAAAAUGUUCUUCCUUUUAUGACACCCUCAAACAUACCUAUUUUCCAAUACCAACCUAAUAAAAAUCCUAAGUGAUAUUGUUUUAGGUAAGGUUAAGAUUUAAACGGAAUAAUAAAAUAUAAAAAAAGUUGUUGUUUCUUACCGAGAAAAUUAAA